UACGUAGGGAGCAAGCGUUGUCCGGAAUUACUGGGCGUAAAGGGUGCGUAGGCGGUUAAUCAAGUCAGAUGUGAAAUAUCCGGGCUUAACCCGGGGGCUGCAUCUGAAACUGGUUGACUUGAGUGCAGGAGAGGAAAGUGGAAUUCCUAGUGUAGCGGUAAAAUGCGUAGAUAUUAGGAGGAACACCAGUGGCGAAGGCGACUUUCUGGACUGUAACUGACGCUGAGGCACGAAAGCGUGGGAAGCAAACAGGAUUAGAUACCCUGGUAGUCCACGCUGUAAACGAUGGAUACUAGGUGUGGGUGACAAAAGUCAUCCGUGCCGGAGCAAACGCAAUAAGUAUCCCGCCUGGGGAGUACGGCCGCAAGGCUGAA
This 374-nucleotide ribosomal RNA is filed under the name uncultured bacterium. RNAcentral's name for it is "bacterial SSU rRNA". It matches the Rfam family "Bacterial small subunit ribosomal RNA", at positions 524 to 898 of the family's 1533-position model. The record is from RNAcentral.